RNAcentral lists this transfer RNA (77 nucleotides) under Actinomycetota bacterium. RNAcentral describes it as "tRNA-Glu". It matches the Rfam family "tRNA". Rfam says of the family: Transfer RNA (tRNA) molecules are approximately 80 nucleotides in length. Their secondary structure includes four short double-helical elements and three loops (D, anti-codon, and T loops). Lineage: Bacteria; Bacillati; Actinomycetota. The record is from RNAcentral.
GGCUCGGUCGUCUAGCGGCCAAGGAUGCCUCCCUCUCACGGAGGAGACCACGGGUUCGAAUCCCGUCCGAGCUACCA